GCUUUCAUAGCUCAGUUGGUUAGAGCACCCGUUUAGUAAGCGGGAGGUCUUGAGUUCGACUCUCAAUGAAAGCAAAUAUUUAUUUUAUUUUUAAUUUUAUUUCAUAGCUCAGUUGGUUAGAGCACCCGUUUAGUAAGCGGGAGGUCUUGAGUUCGACUCUCAAUGAAAGCAAAUAUUUAUUUUAUUUUUAAUUUUAUUUCAUAGCUCAGUUGGUUAGAGCACCCGUUUAGUAAGCGGGAGGUCUUGAGUUCGACUCUCAAUGAAAGCA
This 268-nucleotide transfer RNA is filed under the name Helianthus annuus (common sunflower). The stretch from base 1 to 74 matches the Rfam family "tRNA". The record is from RNAcentral. Lineage: Eukaryota; Viridiplantae; Streptophyta; Magnoliopsida; Asterales; Asteraceae.